This 884-nucleotide long non-coding RNA is filed under the name Homo sapiens (human). RNAcentral describes it as "HSALNT0409382". Lineage: Eukaryota; Metazoa; Chordata; Mammalia; Primates; Hominidae. The record is from RNAcentral.
CUCAUCGGCGCCCGCUGUGCAUUGGGAGGCUCACGUCCCCACCCUCGGGCUUUCCAAGGUGCCGCGCCAGGGGUUGCUGAGGUAGAGGUGGCUCCCCUGCUCCUCCUUCCACCUCUCCGAUUCCACCUCCUCCUCGCACCCCGCUGGGAACUCCUCCAGGGGCUGAGAUUGGAUUCACCGAGCCUGCGGAGAGUGGGGAACUGCGGGCAGGUCGGCGGAGUUAGAUGGCAGCAAAGGUGGGCCGGCUUGGUGUGAUAAAGUUCCAACUGGGUCCUUCCGCGAGCCCUGGGUCCAUAAGAUGUCAUCGGCGAGCGCUGGACUUGACCGUCAACUUGGGAUUGUUAAGGUAAAUGGUGUCUCCUUCUGUCGCCAAGGCGGUGGCAUGGUCUCGGCUGGCUGCAAUCUCCACCUCCUUGCUUCCAGCGAUUCUCCUGCCUCAGCCCCCCGAGUAGCAGAAAUUACAGGAUUUGUCGCUGAUGCCUUACUUCAUUCACUUUGUGAGGUCAUGUUUUCCUGGAUGGUGACAAUGCUAGCAGAUGUUCUUCAGUGUCUGGACAUUAAAACUUUGGCAUGCAGCACCACAUAAGAUGUGAAAAAAAGAUUUUUUUUAAAAAAAAGAUGAGCAUUAAUUGUAGACUUCACUGUGUGGGGUUAUUCGUAGCUAUCUUUCUUGGGAAGGAUUUCCACAUAUUUGAAAAGGCAGGUGUUGUGAUCUAAGCCAUAUCUGCUUUAGGGGGCACCGUAUACCCAAUAGUGCUGUAAUUUUUGCAGUCUCAUUGAUGUACCACCUUGACAGUCUUGGACAAUAUCCAGGAAAAUUUUCUGGAUUAGUAGCCAGAGACUCUUGUUCUCUAACCUUAUUUUCCCUCAAAGAUACAGAGUCU